This 428-nucleotide ribosomal RNA is filed under the name uncultured Pseudomonadota bacterium. RNAcentral describes it as "bacterial SSU rRNA". It matches the Rfam family "Bacterial small subunit ribosomal RNA", at positions 120 to 527 of the family's 1533-position model. Lineage: Bacteria; Pseudomonadati; Pseudomonadota. The record is from RNAcentral.
GAUAAUCUACCUGAUGAUUCGGGAUAACACUUCGAAAGGGGUGCUAAUACGGGAUAAGCCCACGGAGGCUUUGGACACUGCGGGAAAAGGAGGGGACCUUCGGGCCUUCCGUCAUCAGAUGAGUCUGCGUACCAUUAGCUAGNUGGUAGGGUAAAGGCCUACCAAGGCGACGAUGGUUAGCUGGUCUGAGAGGAUGAUCAGCCACACUGGAACUGAGACACGGUCCAGACUCCUACGGGAGGCAGCAGUGGGGAAUUUUGCGCAAUGGGGGAAACCCUGACGCAGCAACGCCGCGUGAGUGAUGAAGGCCCUUGGGUCGUAAAGCUCUGACAGAGGGAAAGAAAUGUGGGUGGCUAAUAUCCAUUCCACUUGACGGUACCCUCAAAGGAAGCACCGGCUAACUCCGUGCCAGCAGCCGCGGUAAUACG